This 74-nucleotide transfer RNA is filed under the name Cordylochernes scorpioides. Its description in RNAcentral is "tRNA-Thr". The record is from RNAcentral. Lineage: Eukaryota; Metazoa; Arthropoda; Arachnida; Pseudoscorpiones; Chernetidae.
UGUCCAGGGAUGGAAUCGAACCCACAGUGUUCCGCUUACCGGGCAGAUGCCAUGUCCACUAGGCUACCCUGGAC